Molecule: ribosomal RNA, 517 nt
Filed under: uncultured bacterium
Lineage: Bacteria
Description: bacterial SSU rRNA
Rfam family: Bacterial small subunit ribosomal RNA
Source: RNAcentral
AGAGUUUGAUCCUGGCUCAGAGCGAACGCUGGCGGCGUGCCUAACACAUGCAAGUCGAACGAGAAAGGGGUAGCAAUACCCCCGGUACAGUGGCGAACGGGUGAGUAACACGUGGGUAAUUCACCUCAGGGUUUGGAAUAACCUGCCGAAAGGCGGAUUAAUACCGGAUAACGUCGCAGGAUCACAUGGUUCUGCGACCAAAGCUGACCUCUUCCUGAAAGUUGGCGCCUGGAGAGAAACCCGCGUCCCAUUAGCUAGUUGGUGAGGUUACGGCUCACCAAGGCUCCGAUGGGUAGCCGGCCUGAGAGGGCGAUCGGCCACAGUGGAACUGAGACACGGUCCACACUCCUACGGGAGGCAGCAGUGAGGAAUCUUGCGCAAUGGGCGAAAGCCUGACGCAGCGACGCCGCGUGGACGAUGAAGGCCUUCGGGUCGUAAAGUCCUGUCGGGUGGGAAGAAAACCCUGGGGUUAAUACCUUCAGGGUUUGACUGUACCACCAAAGAAGCCCCGCUAACU